This 286-nucleotide long non-coding RNA is filed under the name Rattus norvegicus (Norway rat). Its description in RNAcentral is "long non-coding RNA NONRATT030276". The record is from RNAcentral. Lineage: Eukaryota; Metazoa; Chordata; Mammalia; Rodentia; Muridae.
CAGGAAUGCUAAGAGGAUGUGAUAUGAAAUACUGAGGUAUACUGCAGCAGCGGCAGGAGUAAGAGGGUAGCUGGUGGGUCCAUGCCCAAGUGUCUUGAGAAAUCACGCCAUGCAACAGUCCUCACUUUUUGGAUUCAUGAAGAUAUAAAAUAUGAGGCCUACACACAGGAACUUUUCAAUCCAAUUGAGCCCAGGGAUUACUGCUCCUCAGCCCUUCAGUUCUAAAGGCGUGUCCCACCAUCCAUGUAGCCUACAAGAAAAGGGACAGGAUACCUGCCCAUACAGU